GGUGCCUAUGUUACCGUGCAGAUGACGCAACCAAGCUCAAGGAGGAGCUCGAUGAAGAUCUUGCCCUUUGUGUUGUUUCGUUCUAGUUGAUCAGUAGUGGAGCCCAGUUGGGGUCGAUCGGGGACCUUUGUCGCAUUUGGGGUCCUUCUUUUAUUUUGGUUCCGUAGUCGGACCUUGAUUGUAUCUGGAUGAUGUAAUGCUUUAUUCAUGUAAUUGUGUGAAGUGGCGAUUGUAAGCCAACUAUGUAUCUCUUUCCCUUAUGUAUUACAUGGGUUGUGUGAAGAUUACCUCACUUGCGACAUUGCUUUGAAUGCGGUUAUGCCUCUAAGUCGUGCUUCGACACGUGGGAGAUAUAGCCGCAUCGAGGGCGUUACAAGUUGGUAUCAGAGCCUUCCCCGACCUUAGGAGCCCCAUUGCUUGAUCGUUUUUAGCGGCCGAGUUGUGUCUAGAAAAAUGUUUUGAGUCAUUUAGGAUUAUAUAUAUCGGAGAGUUAGGAAUUCUUUUUACUUCCCAGCCUCCUCAUCGCUCUGGUAAGGCAUCCUGACGUAGAGUUUUGACUCUUCUCUUCUCAAAUUUCACUAAAUUUUUUUUAGGAUCACGCGGGUAUCUUGGAAUCGUUCCGAUGGUUUUAUGAUGAGAACAUUGUCUUGGUGCCUCCUGUCAGGGGUUUUGUGGAAGUGUCCUGGGGAGUUGAGCUCUGAGGUGUUGUCAUCAUAAUUUUAUCGUUGCAGUUCUGGAAUACCUGAGUUUAGUACGCCGACAUCGAAAAUCUCUUUUAUGCAGUUGUUGGUGAGAUAACCCCGAUAACCCAGUACUGAGGUGAGUACGGGAGUAUUGCCAUGACUUGUAUAACGGAUGCUUUUCGAAGGUUGAGGUAGACGAUUUCCGAAGGUUUCUUGGUUAUGUGUUGAAGGAUGGAUACAGCUGGAUGUAGGAUUUGCUAGUUUGGGUGAGAUAUUAUGCUUCCCCUGUAUCCCCAACACCUGAUUGCAUAACCGGAAAAUUUCGGGAGUUUCAUAGGUGGGAAUUCAAGUAGCUCUUAGGAUAUAUUUCCGACGGAUGUAUGAUAUGAAAUUGGGGUUCGACGUCUAGUGGUCCGCCUUUCCACGGUCGUUUUUACAGUGGUCUCGUUGUGUCUUAAAGAGUCCUUGGCUAUGCCGACUCGGGGACACUUCGUAUGUCAUGUGCACUGCCUUGUACAUGAUGGUGCUGUACGAUCGAGCCCGUGUAGGCCCCACCACAAAAACUUCGGACGAAAUCUCUAUCAUAUGUUUGUUCCGGCUUAUUCUGCAAGCCAGUCCUUUGUUUUUGUUUUGAGUUGUGGUAUUCGAGUUGCUUCAAUGUCAAAUGUUGAAUCCAUACCUUUCUUAAAUGGUGUUCUCAUAUUUCUAUGGGAGUGCUAAUCCUUUCGAUCAUCGAGAUUGUCAUGUCAAUUCUUUCCAACCGGUGUGCUUCUUUUCAAGUGGAUCCGAUCAUUUCAACAUUCGCAAGAUCACCUCUCAGUUUUCUCAACGGUGUUUGUUUCAUCCGUCCCAAGUUGUUUUUGUUUUCCCGCCCUCCCACCCCUUUUUCUUCAAGGACUCAGAUUUCUUAAUCGAGUAUCCAUUUUAUUGAUGGGAAGUUUCUCCAUUCUUUUCCGUCAAUGUUCUUAUCCGGUGAUUCUCAUGAAGAUUCUAAUGGAGCUUCAAGUUCGUCAUUCCUCAUUCCUUUCUCUUCUCCGGUGGAUUCAAGUCAAGAUUUGUCGAUUAUAUCCCCUUUUUCUCGUCUCAAAUGUCUUCUCAUACUGGUGCACCUCAUUAUAAUUCUACUUCUCGCUACUUGUUAUUCCGGAGUACUCAAGAUAUCUCGAAGAUUCGUGUUUCCACUAUGCAUUCGUUCAAGAUCUUUCGAGGAUGUUCUCUCAUUCAAGUCUUUUAUUUCAACCGGUGCAUUAUCUCUCUUCAAAUUGUUCAACGGUGUUUCUUUUGAGUGGGCCCUAACCCACAGGUCUUUUCCCAGGAUCUUACCUGACUCUUCUAAUUCUCCCGGAGAUGUCCUUAAAAUUCUUUUCGAAGUUUGACGUAAGAAUGAGUUAUCAUCAGUCAAAUGCCAUCUCCUAGAUCUUUCACAAUUAUUUUCAUCGUUGGCUCAACCUCUUCGUUUUGAUUCUUUCGGAGUGUCUAAAUAAUUCUUGGUGGUGUUUCUCGUUGUCAUUCUCAUCAUUUGAAGACCGAAGAAGAGUUUCUCUUUAAUCUUGCUCUAUUCUCUUCAAGAUUCAUGGUGCUAGCUUGUUGCCAUCCUCUCAUAAUUGUUUUGAUCGUGAGAAUUCUUUUCAUCCAUCCGGAGUUAUUCAAGAGUCUUCUCAGUUUGUCAUCCGGAGUCCAUCAAUUCAGAUUUAUUCAUUCUCAGUUUGCAGUUAUCAUUCUCCGAUCUUACCGGUGCCUUGUUCAAGUGAUCUUUAAUCGGCUCGUGCUCUCUUCGUUCUCAUGUAUCUAAAUACCCUAAAGUAUCUUCAUUCAUUUUGCAAUUCUUCCCGGUGAUUUGUGCAUUUGCUACGUUCAAUUUCAAUUCUUACGGUGGUUCGUUCAAGAGUUCUCUUUCUUUGUUAUCAUAUCAAUUCAUUCGUUCUUUCCAAAUCCUACCGGUGGUUCGUUGAAGACCUUCUCAAGUUUACGCCAUAUCUCUCUUAAUCCUUUCUACAAGAAUAAGUGGUAUGCCAAAUCCGUUGCUUGUCAUCAAUUUAAAUUGGUGAAGGAUAAGCAUAACAUAAUUCUUAUUCUUGUUCAUCCAAGUGAUCAAUUCUUUAUUCCGGAGGCCCUUAAAAUUCUCGGUUUCACUUGAUUCAUUUUUCUUUCCCAGAGUUCCAAGCUCUAAAUAUCACAGAGAUCCAUCUAAAUCAUUACAAGGUUUGACCUUGUGUUUUCAACUUCUCUUUCCUUUCGUUUGAUGAUUCUUUUCUGACCGGAGUUCUUCGUGAAGGUUCUACAUGAUGGUUCAUCAAGGAUUUAAUUCUUUCUCCAAGUGUUCAUUGAGAUUCCUUUCAAAAGGAGCUCAAGCUUUCUUCAUCUUGCUAUCUGGAGUGCAAUUCUUUCUUCCGUAUCAUUGGAGGUGGUAUUAUGUCAUUCUUGAUAUUUUGAAUUCAUGUUUCAUGAUUCACAUGUUGUCAUGAAUGAGAUAUUUUAAAAUCCAUCAAUCUCGUCAUUGGAGCUAUCUUGGGUUAUAUUUCACCUAAAGCCUUCCCUAAGGUUGUUGCUAUUUAUGGUGCUUAUAAAUGAUCCAAGUACUUCAUUUAUCCUCCCGGUGAAAUAAGUUUCUCGUCUCCUCGUUCAUAUCAAUCCAAUUCUUCUUCCUGUGAGUGGCAGGUUGUCAUCUCAUAAUUUGAGAUGUAUUUCAUAAGACCAUAUCAAGAUUAUUCUUUUCGUUGUUGGUUUUCAACAACUCCAUUCUAGCAUUUGUUGUAUCUGUGAUCUCUCAAGAUCUUGUUUCCCUUCGUUCCGGAGUCAUUGUGAUGUUGCUCUUUUCAACCCAUCAUCUCGUUUGUCAAAGAUCAUGUUCUUUUCGUGCUUAUCCAUUUAACCAGAGUGUCGUGUCCUCUGCUCAAGUUCUUUUCAUCUUAUCUAGUUUUGCCUCCCUUCUCAACCGGAGUGCGGUUUGUAAUGUUUCUUACCCCUUGUGCCAUUCUUUCAAUUCCGGAGGCAGUGUGUUGUUGAUUUCAUCAUGUAUCCUCCCAUCUUGUCAAGUUCAUGUUCAAUUCCUUCCAUUUACAGUCGGAGUGCUGCCCAAAUUAUAUCAAUCUUAUUCCUCCUCUAUCUAGUUUUAACCGGAGUGGUUUCAAUAUCUAUCUUAUCACUAAACCUCUGGGUUCUCAUCGUAUCCCUUGUUCCUCUUUUCUAACGGAGUGUUUUCAACUUUGUUCAUCUUCGUUGUUUUCUUUCAUUCAUUAGUUCAACCUCGCAAGGUUCUUUGGUUUCACUCGUUCGUCAAAGGAGCAACUUAGUUUUACCUCUCCUCUCUUUCUCUUCCGUUGUCCCUCCGGUGCCAUUCUAGAUCUCGGGACGAGAUCCUCUCGUAGUGGUGGAGUGUUGUAACGCCCCGAGACCGAUGUGCCAGGUGUCGUGCAGUUAUUCGCUGUUAUUGCUUUGUCAUUUGCUUGCGUGUUGCAUUUUGCCAUGUCAUCAUCUGCAUUUCAUCCGCAUGUUUUUCAAAAACUUGCAUCCGUCCCGGUCUCCUCGUUCCUUCCGUUGUCCGUUCUGAGCCCAGACACACUUGCACGCGCCCGCGGCAUGUCCGAAAUAUUAUUUUAUAAGUGGCCGGAAAAUGUUCUCGGAUUGGGUUGAAAUUUGGUGUGUGGUCUUAUUAUAGUGUAGACAGACCGCCUGUCCAGUUUCAUCGCAAUCGGAGUUCGUUUGACGCCCCAACGGAUAAAUAUAGCGGCAAUAGUAGCCGGUCAAAACGUCGGACGUUUUCGGUCUCCGGAAAUAGUCGCCGGGCCUUCCUCUCUUCUCUUCUCUCAGCUCGAGACCGUCUGCACAACUCACUACCUCUCACCACCAGGCCCUACCUAACCUCUCUCGUCAGCCCGCCGCCCUCCUCGCGCGCGCGUCCGAAAGUUGUCCGGAACCCGAACCGAGCUGUCGCCACCGUUGUAUCCGGAUCAUCCCCAAACGUCUACAAAACGUCACUGUUUUCUUAUUUGGGCUCCCUAGCCUAUUCUUCCCGAACCGUCUGAUUUCGAUCGGGACGAAAUAGCCCCUAUCCAAAAUUCACUUGUGCUAUAUAAAGACCAACCCUAAAUUUUAGGGAUCUUGUCCCAUGCACCCUCUCCCGAGCGCCGCCACUCUUCUUGUCCCUUCCUCCUCGGGAUCCUCCCCGAUCCAAAAAUCCAGCCAUCCACCUGCGCCUCCCUCCUUCCUCGUUUUCCCUAGCCGGCCAACCCCCACCGAGAUCCAGAUCCUCCAGCCGCCACCUCCUCGGUUCCCGAGGCCCAGCCUCCUCUCGCACUCGUGCGCGAGCACGCGCCCGAGGAGCUCGAGCAGGGGAGCCCCGAUCCCGCAGCAGCAGCGCUGCCUGGCUCCUUCUCACCUCAUCUUCUCCCGUGCGCCUCCAUCUCGCGCAGCCCCGCCGGCGACGAGCAGCAGCACCUGCAGGAGCUCCGCCUCCUCUCGCGAGCGCCCAGGCCCGUGAUCCUCCUCCCUCUUCCUUCCCCUCCCUUUUUCUUAUCCUUCUCUGAUCUCCCUCUCUCACCGGAUGCUCCCUCCCUGUUCUUCUUCAUAGGGAACUGAUGCAACCACUGCCUCGUUUGACCCCGCCGGAUCGGGUCGCGUUCGCCCCGUCGCCGUGCUCCCCACCGACGCCGUCCGCGCCCUUUCCUGCCUCGGAUCCGGCUGGAUCCACCUCCUCCUCCAGCCACGGCCUUCCUGGCCGGAUCCCGCCGCCGCGUUGCCGCCAAGCCAGCUCGCCGCUGCUGCUCUGCUUCCUGACGAACAGAGCAGCUCGCUCGCCCGCUCGUCCCCGCUCGCGUUGACCCUUCCCCGAUUGAACCAAGGCCGGCCAGCCCAGCGUGCCUCCUCCCGUGCCAGAUCGCAGCCCAAUCGGCCUCGCAUCGGCCUGCUUCGGCUCCCGUUGGACCUCCACGUCGCCCGCGCCUGGGCCUCCUUGCGCAAAGCCCAGCGCCGCCCCAGCCUCAUCCGGCCCAGCCGCCCUUCUCCAGCGAACCGGGCCUUGGCCCAGGGUGAGCAGCCCCAAGCGCCCCCUCCUCUUAUUUUUUUUACCUGUUGGGCUUGCCCCAGAUUCAGCCCGUCAUGUGUUUUUUUCAGCGCCUGGGAUUUUUCCUAUUAUUCCAGAGAGCAGCAGUUUUGUAGUUUAGUCCCCCUAGUUCAUGCAUUUAAUAACUCACUAACCGUGCAUCGGAUUAAAAUGUUUUAUAUAUGAAACUUGCUCAAAAUUUUGUGUAGAUUAAUAAUAUCCAACUUUCAUCUAUGUUUGAGAUGAUAAAAAUGCUGUUUGCAUUAAUUUGCUCCUAUGCCAUGCUAAAAUGCUUUAUUUCAUAACUAAGUAACCGUAACUCCAAUUUUAAUAAACUUUAUAUGUAAAUGGGGUAGAAUUUUGCCUAGUUUAUCAUGGUGGCCUUACUUUGCAUGUUUAACAACCCUAAAAUUGUGUUUAGGGCAGAACAGGACCUAAUCUAAAAUAUGCAUAUGGGGAGUUUCCGGAAUUGUUGUUCGUUGCUUCCGGCCUCACUUAAACUUGACUAGAUAGGUAGUUUUACUUUGCUUCACCCUCUUGCCAUGUUAACCAACAUUUAAUAUUGUUGAGUACAUAAACGAGAUCAAACUAAAUAACUUGUUGUGGUGUUUCGUCAAUAUGCAACUCCGUUGCAUAUUGAGCUCCACUUAAUUUGUAAGAUAGUUUGUUGCAUUUUGCCAUGCCAUGCCUCUUUAAACUAGACAUGCAUCAUACUCGAUUAUGCAUCAUGCCAUGUCUAUGUGGUGGUUGUUUACUAUGUUGUGUGCUUCUUUUCCGGUGAUUGCUUCUUCGGGUUGGUUCCGGUAACGUCGAGUUUGUGAGGAACCGUUCGACUACGCCCGUUUGUCUUCUUCAUGGACUCGUUCUUCUUCCUUGCGGGAUUUCAGGCAAGAUGAUCAUACCCUCGAAAUCACUACUAUCUUUGCUAUGCUAGUUUGCUCGCUCUUUUGCUAUGCCAAUGCUACGAUGCCUACCAUUUGCUUGUCAGCCUCCCAAAUUGCCAUGUCAAACCUCUAACCCACCAUGUCCUAGCAAACCAUUGAUUGGCUAUGUUACCGCUUUGCUCAGCCCCUCUUAUAGCGUUGUUAGUUGCAGGUGAAGAUUGAAGUUUGUUCCUUGUUGGAACAUGGAGAUGUUGUUCCUUGUUGGAACAUGUUUACUUGUUGGGAUAUCACAAUAUAUCUUAUUUAAUUAAUGCAUCUAUAUACUUGGUAAAGGGUGGAAGGCUCGGCCUUAUGCCUGGUGUUUUGUUCCACUCUUGCCGCCCUAGUUUCCGUCAUAUCGGUGUUAUGUUCCCGGAUUUUGCGUUCCUUACACGGUUGGGCUAUAAUGGGAACCCCUUGACAGUUCGCCUUAAGUAAAGCUUCUCCAGCAAUGCCCAACAUUGGUUUUACCAUUCGCCACCUAGCCUCUUUUUCCCUUGGGUUUCGCGGACUCAAGGGUCAUCAUUAUUUUAUCCCCCCCGGGCCAGUGCUCCUCUGAGUGUUGGUCCACCUGUCAGCUACCGGUGGCUACCAGGGGCAACUCUGGGCUGGCCUACCCGUACCUAGGACAAUCUGAGUGUGCCCUGAGAAAGAGAUAUGUGCAGCUCCUAUCGGGAUUUGUCGGCACAUUUGGGCGGUGUUGCUGGUUUAGUUUUACCCUGUCGAAAUGUCUUGUUGUACCGGGAUACCGAAUCUGAUCGGAGUGUCUCGGGUGGAGGUCUAUUCCUUCGUUGACCGUGAGAGCUUGUCAUGGGCUAAGUUGGGACUCCCCUGCAGGGAUUUGAACUUUCGAAAGCCGUGCCCGCGGUUAUGGGCAGAUGGGAAUUUGUUAACGUCCGGUUGUAGAAAACCCGAAGUUGACCUUAAUUAAAAUACAUCAACCGCGUGUGUAACCAUGAUGGUCUCUUUCCGGCGGGGUCCGGGAAGUGAACAUGGUUGUUGGAGUUAUGUCUGACGUAGGUUGUUAUAGGAUCACUUCUUGAUCAUACUUUUAUCGACCGUGCUUUGCCUUCUCUUCUCGCUCUCAUUUGCGUAUGUUAGCCACCAUAUAUGCUAGUCGCUUGCUGCAGCUCCACCUCAUUACUCCAUCCUUCCUAUAAGCUUAAAUAGUCUUGAUCUCGCGGGUGCGAGAUUGCUGAGUCCCCGUGGCUCACAGAUACUUCCAAAACCAGUUUGCAGGUGCCUAUGUUACCGUGCAGAUGACGCAACCAACCUCAAGGAGGAGCUCGAUGAAGAUCUUGCCCUUUAUGUUGUUUCGUUCUAGUUGAUCAGUAGUGGAGCCCAGUUGGGGUCGAUCGGGGACCUUUGUCGCAUUUGGGGUUCUUCUUUUAUUUUGGUUCCGUAGUCGGACCUUGAUUGUAUCUGGAUGAUGUAAUGCUUUAUUCAUGUAAUUGUG
This 8103-nucleotide long non-coding RNA is filed under the name Triticum aestivum (bread wheat). Its description in RNAcentral is "long non-coding RNA (TAES_LNC027412)". The record is from RNAcentral. Lineage: Eukaryota; Viridiplantae; Streptophyta; Magnoliopsida; Poales; Poaceae.